RNAcentral lists this ribosomal RNA (139 nucleotides) under uncultured bacterium. RNAcentral's name for it is "partial 16S ribosomal RNA". It matches the Rfam family "Bacterial small subunit ribosomal RNA", at positions 355 to 509 of the family's 1533-position model. The record is from RNAcentral.
UGGGGGAUAUUGCACAAUGGGGGGAACCCUGAUGCAGCGACGCCGCGUGAGUGAAGAAGUAAUUCGUUAUGUAAAGCUCUAUCAGCAGGGAAGAAGAAAUGACGGUACCUGAGUAAGAAGCCCCGGCUAACUACGUGCC